RNAcentral lists this long non-coding RNA (1039 nucleotides) under Arabidopsis thaliana (thale cress). RNAcentral's name for it is "long non-coding RNA (ATHA_LNC000095)". The record is from RNAcentral. Lineage: Eukaryota; Viridiplantae; Streptophyta; Magnoliopsida; Brassicales; Brassicaceae.
GUUCAUCUCCACUUUACUCUUUGUUUUCGCUGGUGUUGGCUCUGCCAUUGCCUACGGUUCGUAUACUCGUAGUUAAAUAAUGGGAUCUAAAUAAUUUUCGUAAUUUGUAAAAAUUAAUGGGUUCAAUACUUAAUGAAUGUGUCACAUUUGUGUAUAUAGCAAAGCUGACGUCGGACGCUGCUCUUGAUACACCGGGACUAGUGGCCAUCGCGGUUUGUCAUGGUUUUGCUCUCUUCGUGGCCGUUGCAAUCGGAGCCAACAUCUCCGGUGGCCAUGUGAACCCAGCCGUCACUUUUGGUCUUGCUGUCGGUGGUCAAAUCACAGUCAUCACCGGAGUUUUCUACUGGAUCGCUCAGCUUCUCGGCUCCACCGCCGCUUGUUUCCUCCUUAAAUACGUCACCGGUGGAUUGGUAUGUUCUCAUCACCUUUACUUACUUUCUCGUAAAAUAAAGAGAAUCAUAGUAUAGGUCUACAAAACAACAAAAAUAAAAUAAUACAGAAUAAAGGUAUUUAAGGACAAUCUUAACUUGAUUGAAAACUAGGUUACAAAUUUAUAACAUAGUUUACAAAGUCCAACAACCAAUAAUAUUCUCCAUGUUUUAAUAUAUAGUUGACACAUGAUUUGUAUGUUUUUGGACAAACGACACAUGAUUUUGUUUAAAAGUGAAGUUAUAGAAUAUUGUAGGGUUUUUUCUAUUUCAAGCUAGCAUUUUAUACUGUAGGUUUCAUUUCGCACUAGUAGGCAAAUUCUGGAGGCAUUUUAAUUAAUAAAAACUAAUGAACGAGCGCUAAAACUAUUGAAAACGCAGGCGGUUCCAACCCACAGCGUUGCGGCUGGACUAGGAUCGAUAGAAGGAGUAGUGAUGGAGAUCAUCAUCACCUUCGCUUUGGUCUACACUGUCUACGCCACCGCCGCUGAUCCCAAGAAGGGUUCUCUCGGAACCAUCGCUCCUCUCGCCAUUGGUCUUAUCGUUGGUGCCAACAUCCUCGCCGCCGGUCCAUUCUCCGGUGGAUCCAUGAACCCAGCACGUUCCUUUGG